RNAcentral lists this ribosomal RNA (468 nucleotides) under uncultured bacterium. RNAcentral's name for it is "partial 16S ribosomal RNA". It matches the Rfam family "Bacterial small subunit ribosomal RNA", at positions 28 to 507 of the family's 1533-position model. The record is from RNAcentral.
GACGAACGCUGGCGGCGUGCUUAACACAUGCAAGUCGAACGGAAAGGCCCUGCUUUUGUGGGUGCUCGAGUGGCGAACGGGGGAGUAACCCCUGAGUUACCUGCCCUUGACCUUGGGAAAACUUUAGGAAGGCGGGGCUUAUUCCGGAUAGGAACUUCUGCCGCAUGGUUGGGGGUGGAAAGUUUUCGCCGGUUGGGAUUGGACUGGGGGCUUAUCAGCUUGUUGGUGGGGUAGUGGCUUACCAAGGCUUUGCCGGGUAGCCGGCCUGGGAGGGUGACCGGCCACAUUGGGACUGAGAUACGGCCCAGACUCCUACGGGAGGCAGCAGUGGGGAAUAUUGCACAAUGGGCGGAAGCCUGAUGCAGCAACGCCGCGUGCGGGAUGACGGCCUUCGGGUUGUAAACCGCUUUCGCCUGUGACGAAGCGUGAGUGACGGUAAUGGGUAAAGAAGCACCGGCUAACUACGUG